Molecule: non-coding RNA, 1621 nt
Organism: Sus scrofa (pig)
Lineage: Eukaryota; Metazoa; Chordata; Mammalia; Artiodactyla; Suidae
Source: RefSeq, a predicted model, not a curated record
CCCCUGCGUGGUGUAUGACUGUGGGCCCCAGCGCGCUUGGAAUAAAAAUCCUCUUGCUGUUUGCAUCAAGACCGCUUCUCGUGAGUGAUUAAGGGGAGUCGCCUCUUCCGAGCCUGGAAGUUCUUUUUGCUGGUCUUACAUAUGGGGGCUCGUCCGGGAUCUGUCGCGGCCACCCCUAACACCCGAGAACCGACUUGGAGGGUGCUGCGAGGGGACCCUCUGCCCCUCCUGGAGCUCCGGCGGUGGAGGGACCUGCUGCAGGGACUCGGAGCCGCAAGGACGCCACCCCGGAGCGGACAGACGAGAUCGCGACAUUACCGCUGCGCACGUACGGCCCUCCCAUACCGGGGGGCCAAUUGCAGCCCCUCCAGUAUUGGCCCUUUUCUUCUGCAGAUCUCUAUAAUUGGAAAACUAACCAUCCCCCUUUCUCGGAGGAUCCCCAACGCCUCACGGCGUUAGUGGAGUCCCUUAUGUUCUCUCACCAGCCUACUUGGGAUAAUUGUCAGCAGCUGCUGCAGACACUCUUCACAACUGAGAAACGAGAAAGAAUUCUGUUAGAGGCUAGAAAAAAUGUUCCUGGGGCCGACGGGCGACCCACGCAGUUGCAAAACGAGAUUGACAUGGGAUUCCCCUUGACUCGCCCCGGUUAGGACUACAACACGGCAGAAGGUAGGGAGAGCUUAAAAAUCUAUCGCCAGGCUCUGGUGGCGGAUCUCCGAGGCGCCUCAAGACGGCCCACUAAUUUGGCUAAGGUAAGAGAAGUGAUGCAGGGACCGAAUGAACCCCCCUCUGUUUUUCUUGAGAGGCUCUUGGAAGCCUUCAGGCGGUACACCCCUUUUGAUCCCACCUCAGAGGCCCAAAAAGCCUCAAUGGCUUUGGCCUUUAUAGGACAGUCAGCCUUAGAUAUUAAAAAAAAGCUUCAGAGACUGGAAGGGUUACAGGAGGCUGAGUUACGUGAUCUAGUGAAGGAGGCAGAGAAAGUGUAUUACAAAAGGGAGACAGAAGAAGAAAGGGAACAAAAAAAAGAGAGAAAAAAAAAGAAAAAAAGAAAAGACGUAAUAAACGGCAAGAGAAAAAUUUGACUAAGAUCUUGGCUGCAGUAGUUGAAGGAAAAAACAACAAAAAAAGAGAGAGAGAUUUUAGGAAAAUUAGGUCAGGCCCUAAACAGUCAGGGAACCUGGGCAAUAGGACCCCACUCGACAAGGACCAAUGUGCAUAUUGUAAAGAAAAAGGACACUGGGCAAGGGACUGCCCCAAGAAGAGAAACAAGGGACUAAAGGUCUUAGCUCUGGAAGAAGAUAAAGACUAGGGAAGACGGGGUUCGGACCCCCUCCCCGAGCCCAGGGUAACUUUAAAGGUGGAGGGGCAACCAGUUGAGUUUCUGGUUGAUACUGGAGCGAAACAUUCAGUGCUACUACAGCCAUUAGGAAAACUAAAAGAUAAAUAAUCCUGGGUAAUGGGUGCCACAGGGCAACAACAGUAUCCAUGGACUACCCGAAGAACAGUUGACUUGGGAGUGAGACGGGUAACCCACUCGUUUCUGGUCAUACCUGAGUGCCCAGCACCCCUCUUAGGUAGAGACUUAUUGACCAAAAUGGGAACACAAAUUUCUUUUGAACAA